CCUACGGGAGGCAGCAGUAGGGAAUUUUCGUCAAUGGGCGCAAGCCUGAACGAGCAAUGCCGCGUGAACGAGGAAGGUCUUCGGAUCGUAAAGUUCUGUUGAAGGGGAAAAAGAGCGGAGAGAGGAAAUGCUUUCUGAUUGAUAUUACCCUUCGAGGAAGUCACGGCUAACUACGUGCCAGCAGCCGCGGUAAUACGUAGGUGGCGAGCGUUAUCCGGAUUUAUUGGGUUUAAAGGGUGCGUAGGCGGGAUGCCAAGUCAGCGGUAAAAAGGCGGGGCUCAACGCCGUCGAGGCGUUGAAACUGGGGUUCUUGAGUGGGCGAGAAGUAUGCGGAAUGCGUGGUGUAGCGGUGAAAUGCAUAGAUAUCACGCAGAACUCCGAUUGCGAAGGCAGCAUACCGGCGCCCUACUGACGCUGAGGCACGAAAGCGUGGGUAUCGAACAGGAUUAGAUACCCUAGUAGUUC
RNAcentral lists this ribosomal RNA (465 nucleotides) under uncultured bacterium. RNAcentral describes it as "partial 16S ribosomal RNA". It matches the Rfam family "Bacterial small subunit ribosomal RNA", at positions 338 to 796 of the family's 1533-position model. The record is from RNAcentral.